Molecule: ribosomal RNA, 441 nt
Filed under: uncultured bacterium
Lineage: Bacteria
Description: partial 16S ribosomal RNA
Rfam family: Bacterial small subunit ribosomal RNA
Source: RNAcentral
CCUACGGGUGGCAGCAGUGGGGAAUAUUGCACAAUGGGGGAAACCCUGAUGCAGCAACGCCGCGUGAGUGAGGAAGUAUUUCGGUAUGUAAAGCUCUAUCAGCAGGGAAUAGAAAAGAAGGUACCUGAAAAAGAAGCCCCGGCUAACUACGUGCCAGCAGCCGCGGUAAUACGUAGGGGGCAAGCGUUAUCCGGAUUUACUGGGUGUAAAGGGAGCGUAGACGGAAAGGCAAGUCAGAAGUGAAAACCCGGGGCCCAACCCCGGGACUGCUCUUGGAACUGCGUGGCUGGAGUGCAGGAGGGGCAGGCGGAAUUCCUGGUGUAGCGGUGAAAUGCGUAGAUAUCAGGAGGAACACCGGUGGCGAAGGCGGCCUGCUGGACUGCAACUGACGUUGAGGCCCGAAAGCGUGGGGAGCAAACAGGAUUAGAUACCCGGGUAGUC